CCCUAUUUGGUAAAAGUCCAAGUUCAUAUUAUGGCAAGAACAGCUCAAAUAAGUAAAGAGAAACGACAGUCCAUAAUUACUUCAAGACAUGACGGCUGCCAUGGUGUGGGCCUAGCGAGCUGAGCCUUCAAAAAUCAUAUCAGGAGAUAUUCUCCUCCAAUUCGCGUUGAAAGGAGGCGAAGAGAGAGAAUGUGAGGAAUCGAAGAAAGACAAAUUGAGAAAGAGCCUAUCCCUGAGCGGGUUGGAUAGAUGUUCUAGGGGUUCUGCAAUGCUCAGAGAAGACUACCGUAUCUCUUCCCCAGACCUGUAUCCAUUUGACGUCCUCCGUGACCAACCACCCUCCAAGAUCCCACUUUUCAUUACAUUAUCUACAGCUACUGUCAUUGUCAUGUUUAAUCUAAUCUGCUAAGAAACUGCUUGCCAUAUCAUACUAGGCACAGUGAGAUACACAGAUGAACUACGUACACUAGCACUGCAAACACUCCAAGAGCGAAGAGAGCAGCUGUGCCAGGACUUUGCAAUCACCAUCUUUAAGUCCCACUUCUGAGAUUGCAUGCCUGUGGAGGGAAAGUGAAGGGCAAAACCCAUAGCACCCACCUCCUCUCUAUUCCAGAAUUGAGAGAUACAUUUUUUUUUAUCCAUACCCUAUUUCUGCUAAGACUCUUUUGAACAUCCCCUCUUAUAUUAUGUACAUUACUUGUCAUUCAAACUUAUUUUUUCUAAACUAAAUGGUAUAUUACUGUUGAUGUGUUGAUAGUCAUGUAUUCCAGUCUAUAACUGCCAUGUCGGUAUAUUGAAUAAAAUAAACAAGUUCAUGACACAACUGUUUCACAAAAAGA
Oncorhynchus tshawytscha (Chinook salmon) is the source of this 839-nucleotide long non-coding RNA. RefSeq lists it as uncharacterized. Lineage: Eukaryota; Metazoa; Chordata; Actinopteri; Salmoniformes; Salmonidae. The transcript has 4 exons. The record is from RefSeq and is a predicted model, not a curated record.